UCAAGAAACUUCCACAAUGGGCGAAAGCCUGAUGGAGCGACGUCGCGUGAUGGACGAAGUGCUUCGGCACGUAAACAUCUUUUAUGUGGGAUGAAAUUAUUGACAGUACCACAUGAAUAAGGGGCUCCUAACUCUGUGCCAGCAGGAGCGGUAAUACAGAGGCCCCAAGCGUUAUCCGGAAUCACUGGGCGUAAAGGGUGUCGAGGCGGUUGUAUUAGUCGUUCGUAAAAUCUACGAGCUUAACUUGUAGGCGGCGAACGAAACGGUACGACUUGAGGUUUGGAGAGGUGCGUGGAACUCACGGUGUAGGGGUGAAAUCCGUUGAUAUCGUGGGGAACACCAAGGGCGAAGGCAGCGCACUGGCCAAAAUCUGACGCUCACACACGAAAGCUAGGGUAGCGAAGAGGAUUAGAUACCCUCGUAGUCCCUGAGCGGGCUGGCAAGGCGCAU
RNAcentral lists this ribosomal RNA (450 nucleotides) under uncultured bacterium. RNAcentral's name for it is "bacterial SSU rRNA". It matches the Rfam family "Bacterial small subunit ribosomal RNA", at positions 355 to 825 of the family's 1533-position model. The record is from RNAcentral.